GACGAACCGUGCAAACGUUGUUCGGAAUCAUUGGGCGUAAAGAGCGUGUAGGCGGCCCGGUAAGUCCGCUGUAAAAGUCAAAGGCUCAACCUUUGAAUGUCAGUGGAUACUGCCGGGCUAGAGUCCGGAAGAGGCGAGUGGAACUCCUGGUGUAGCGGUGGAAUGCGCAGAUAUCAGGAAGAACACCAACGGCGAAGGCAGCUCGCUGGGACGGUACUGACGCUGAGACGCGAAAGCGUGGGGAGCGAACAGG
This 253-nucleotide ribosomal RNA is filed under the name uncultured bacterium. RNAcentral's name for it is "partial 16S ribosomal RNA". It matches the Rfam family "Bacterial small subunit ribosomal RNA", at positions 524 to 776 of the family's 1533-position model. The record is from RNAcentral.